CAGAUUUUUUUUCGAGCCCGGACGAAUCAGAGUCAGAAUUGACGCUCCACCUGAUAGGGGUCUGUUGGGCAGUUAGAUAAAUCUCAUCUGUUUAGGGAAAUGAAAUUACGUUGAUUAUAUCUGUUAUGAGUAUGUUAGAAAGUAACAGACGGGUAGGAAAUGUCCGGAGAUUAGUAUAUUUGGUAUUAAUGAGUAUUGGUAAAAUUAAAUGGUGAGAUUUAGAUAACUGCGAUCCCAUUUUUCUCCAAAUCUGCAUAGCUGAAGACUACUUGUUCAAAUCUCAGGCUGAAAAGAAUAUUUUUUUUUAAUUUGACUUUAUUUUAGAAUAUUUUUUUCUGUAUGCUGUCAAUUUUUGCAAUGUUUUUUUGUUUUUCAAUUUGAGCCAAAAUUUAUGAAUAUGGUGUUAUGGUAUGGAAAAUUUUUAAAAUGUGUAUGAGAAGCAAAAAAACGUUAAAUAUGAAAUUUUCGUGUUUCUGCCUUUCAAGUACAUGCCUAAAAUCAAAUUGGAAAGGAUAAUAAUUGAAAAUUGACAACGCAAGAAUGAUUGCAAUAAGAGCACCGUGAAAUCAAAACGAAAAAAAAACGACUCGCCAUUGAGACUAUAGAGAGGUCCAAACGUAUUGAAAGAGGAAAGGAAAAAUUUAACUUCAUGAGUACAUUAACAAUAACCUGCAAAGAAUACCAGUUCACGCCAUAAAGUCCCAAAAGGUUCCAAGCUCAACACAGGAGUUCAAAGCAACAGGCUAUUAGUUGGUAAGGAAUAUGAACCUAAUCCUCUCCAAUAUAAAGUCUGGUUUCUGUUUUAAAAAUAAAAAAAAUUAUUGAAUCGACAAAAAAAAUUAAAGUUUGGAACUGGAAAUGAUUCAAGGGUUGGAGUUAUUAAUCCCUUUGGCGUAGCAGGGAACUAAUUCCACUUAGAGAGUUAGAGUUAGUUCUCGCUCCGUGGGAACGAAAUAAUUUUUAGUAAACUGGAUUUAGUUUCUAUGCUAGGAAUUCCGGCGAUUUUAGAUUUCCAUUUUACAAAAGAGCUGCAACACAAAAUGACACGUACUAUAUAUAAACAUCCAACUUUUUAAUAGCCUUUUUUAGUAACUCAAAAACUAAGCGAAGUUUAAAUAAAUUUAAAUUUGUAUUAAAACCUAUUAUACAACAUGAGGAUUUUGUGGCGAUCUCUUAAAAAAUGCAUUAUAUUGAAUAAAAAGGUUAUUGUUCAGGUUUUUGCGUUUAUUGGCUUGAUUUACACAUUGACAUUGCUCGCAAAAUUUAAUUGGAAAUUCUAAUUCAACCCGCAGUUUGGUUAUUUGUCAAUAUUCACUCCUUUAAUUAAAAAUACAUAUUUUCUUCUACUUU
Molecule: long non-coding RNA, 1350 nt
Organism: Episyrphus balteatus (marmalade hoverfly)
Lineage: Eukaryota; Metazoa; Arthropoda; Insecta; Diptera; Syrphidae
Exons: 4
Source: RefSeq, a predicted model, not a curated record